RNAcentral lists this unclassified non-coding RNA (396 nucleotides) under Hevea brasiliensis (rubber tree). Lineage: Eukaryota; Viridiplantae; Streptophyta; Magnoliopsida; Malpighiales; Euphorbiaceae. The record is from RNAcentral.
AGUGGAUGGCUUCCAGGUUCAAGGUAUGAUGAUUCUGAGAUUUCCUUCUCGAAUAAAACGUUCAGUCCUAGAGCUAUUAUAUUAACCCCUAAAGUCCUAAACUUCAUUUGAUGAAUGCCAAUUGAAUAUUCUAUAUGACUUGAUGACCAUAAAGUAUCUUUUGAUGGCUUUUGCUAAUACUAUAUGCGUUAUUCUUUAGCUAAGUAAAUAUCAAUAAUAAUAAGUGCCAAUAUUAUGUUAUCAGAAGAGGUAUAUGUGUUCAUAAUGUAUGGAUGAGGGACUAGUUCAUCCACUUGUUAUACAAAAAAAUCCAGUUGCCAUUUUGUAUCUAGAGAACAUUCCAUAUUUGUUAGUUACGAGUUUGUCAACAUGCAGGGGCUUAAAGAACAAAAUAGA